UUGGAUCAUUACAAAAUUUGGUUUACACCAAACUUUGUUUUACAACAACACACGUUUCUGGUUGCGAUGCCUCUUUCGGGAGGUUUGCUUGCCGGAUUUUGUCAGAUGUCUUUUUGUUUUCUUUUUUUUUCGCCGCUUGUUGGAGCUUCAAGUGACCGAGGGAAUGAUCGUGGGUGUGUGACGGGGAAUUUUUUUGGAUUUCAUUAUUCAAGAUUAUGACUGCCAACUGCCCACAAUGAUUGUAAUGAUCUCGGUUUGCCAAAAAGUGCUGCGAAUGUUGGAAGCAAUUGAUUCUGACGAGCUCCGAUCAAACUUAGAUUGCUGUUGCUAUUCGGGAAUGGUUUUGAAUGCUCUGAUGCUCAUGUUUUUCAUUCUCUCUGUGGUACGACGGAUGCUUUCCCCCGGGAAGGUGAUAACUCGUUACCAUGUCCUUGAUUCAUUUCUUGGACAGUCGAGACUACGAUUAACGGGUCAUCUUAGCCUGAAAAGACAACUUUUCUGGAUUCGACGCCCGGAAACCACCCCGGGUGGCGCUGAUUUUAUCAGAUGCUGCUUGGGGAUGAACCUAGUACUAUUUUUUUUUGUCUGAAUCAUUCACUAUUUGGUGAAAUGAAAAACAACUUUUGACAACGGAUCUCUUGGCUCUCGCAACGAUGAAGAACGCAGCGAAUUGCGAUAAGUAAUGUGAAUUGCAGAAUUCAGUGAAUCAUCAAAUCUUUGAACGCCCAUUGCGCUCCUUGGUAUUCCGGGGAGCAUGUCUGUUUGAGAAUCAAUAAAUCUCACACCACCAGAUCGNNUUGAUUAAUUUCGCUCAGGUCCGGAGGUGGAUUUGAGUCUUUNGCGUUUCACUGUGAACACAAUGACUUUAAAUACAAUGUCUGCAGCUUNCUCUNGAUGGAGAAUGGCUUUGAGUGCAUGAACUGUCUUAAUUAACUUAGAUUUCACUCCUGUAAGCUUUCAUUCCUGAUGUCUGGGAGAUGCGCUGUUGGACCCACCCAUACAUCUCUGGGAGUCUGAUUCAUUUCGGCCCUCGCAUUGAAUACUUGGCCUCAAAUCAGGUAGGAAAACCCGCUGAACUUAAGCAUAUCAAUAAGCGGAGGAAAAGAAACUAACAAGGAUUCCCCUAGUAACGGCGAGUGAAGCGGGAAUAGCUCAAAUUUGAAAUCUUAUGGGUUUACCCAUACGAAUUGUAGUUUAGAGAAACGUUUUCGGAUGAGACAUGAGCAUAAGUCCUUUGGAAGGGGGCAUCAUAGAGGGUGAGAAUCCCGUCUUUGGCUCAUUGUUCUUUUCUAUGUGAUGCGUUUUCCACGAGUCGGUUUGUUUGGGAAUGCAGACCAAAAUGGGUGGUAAAUACCAUCUAAAGCUAAAUACUGGCGAGAGACCGAUAGCGAACAAGUACCGUGAGGGAAAGAUGAAAAGAACUUUGAAAAGAGAGUUAAACAGUACGUGAAAUUGUCAAAAGGGAAACGCUUGAAACCAGUAUUGCUUGCAAAUAAUCAGCCAUUCUCUUUUGCGUGGUGCACUUGUUUGUCAGCGGGUCAACAUCAGUUUGAUUUGGGGUAAAAAGCUAGGGGAAGGUAGCCCAGGGCUUGCUCUGGGUGUUAUAGCCUCUGGUCCUGCCUUGGAUUGGACUGAGGUCUGCAGCGUCUUUUUGGAUAUCCGGUCGCCUCUUGAAACCAUUGGGCAGACAGCUUGCUGACUGUUUGAUGACGUAGGGAGCCCGGUCGGGUUUUCACUCCAGCGCUUAGGAUGUUGACGAAAUGGUUUUAAACGACC
RNAcentral lists this ribosomal RNA (1776 nucleotides) under uncultured Chytridiomycota. Its description in RNAcentral is "eukaryotic LSU rRNA". The stretch from base 1045 to 1776 matches the Rfam family "Eukaryotic large subunit ribosomal RNA", at positions 1 to 649 of the family's 3401-position model. The record is from RNAcentral. Lineage: Eukaryota; Fungi; Chytridiomycota.